GAUUAAGAGCCAGAUAAAGAGAGAGGUGAGCCAGCACACGUCACUGUACCUCUCUACUCUGACUGGCUGCCACUGUGUACUUCCCAUAAUGCUUCAUGGAAGUCUGGGGAAGCCCCCACGCGAUCUAGGAUAUCUCUAUCAUAGACUGUAUGAAUUGCUACCAUAAGUCAUUUUUUUUUUUAACAAAAUUUUUUUUUUUUUCAUUUUUCCCUUCAGGGGAAUUUUUUUUAUACAUUUUUUGAGACAACACAAAUCUUGAUCAUAUUUGUAAUGUUCUAUUAUGAAUCCCCUAUUUAAAGGCAAAAAAUCUUAAAAAGCUCAGUGGCCCUAUACAUUUAAGGGAAAUUCUGUAGUCAACCUUCUGUGACAUACCAAGUUUGGUAGAAAUAGAAAAAUGACCUGAGAGGAGCAGGCCAAAAAAAACAACAAAACAAAACAAAACAAAAACAAACAGAAAGACGUGACUUCAAUCCCAGUGGUAAUUGGCAAAUUUGACCUUAGCUGGGCAAAUCCAGAACCCACCUCCAUUUGUUAGAGUGAAAAACUUAAAUGGUGACUACUGACCUAGUGUUUGAGCUUCUGUAAAUUUGAUUUUACCUGAUCGACACUGGAGUGAAAAUAAAAAUUUUGACCUUAAUUGCUUUGACAUUUGCCAAAAACAAACCCUUUAACAGCAGUUCCUGCGUUGACAGUCAUCUAGUCAACACAUUUGGUGGAAAUUGGCAGAAGACGUGAGAGGAGCAGGGUCACAAACUGACCAACAAACAUUUUCACCUUUGACCACCAAAACAGACCAUUUAAGGGCAAUUUUGGGGUCACCCUUCAUGCACAGUUUGUUGGGAAUCCAUAAAAUGACUUUGGAGAAGCAGGGGAACAAAGUCCUGUACUUAAAAUUCAGGGGUGUGCUGUAACGCUCAGCACGAGCGCGGCGACACUUUCAGAGGAAACCGCCUGCCGUUUCGGCGUUAGUAUCUCCAAAAAGGUGUGCGCCCCCUGCUGUGCUUAAUAAGGAUAAAGAUGGAGUCCCACCUGUCCAGCUGUGUGAAAUACACGCUCGGCUGCUUGUAAAAGAAACCAGCAUGGAGAUAAUACUGUCAUCAUUACCGCGGCUACAUUCCUGGAUUGUCUGACACUUUACUGGCAACCCGUAAAAACAUGGCUUAGAAAUGUGAAGACACUUCUCAUCUAUUUCGCUCUCUGAAUUUUCAUGGCACUUAAUCCACAUUGUCCCAUUCUACCCAGUUGGAAAUGGGAAAUAACCUGCGAUGAACUUGCAUCCCAUCUGCUUAACACGAAGUAUUGCAGGAUAAGGACCAACACCAGUGGGCAUCAGGGCCUGUACAGGUCUGACUUAUGCCCAAUCACAAUACUCUCCUAUUGCCCAACCACUUCCCCUUUCUCUUCAUUUUGCACAUCCAUGGUAGACGGCUCUGAUCCAUGUGAACUGAACUACCAACCUAUAGAUUCAAUCAGGCGUGUAUGGUGGGUUGUCAAAAUUUUAGCAGCAACAAUGUAAAGCACUGACUUGUGAGCUGGCGGAGUAUCGUUAUGAAAAAAUACAUACAGCUGCAUCAACAAGUUGACUUCUGUGUCUAUGAUUUUAUCAUUUGGACAGGACUCGCACUGCCAUCAUUGAGUCCAUCAUCUCCUCCUCCAUCACCGUCUGGAACGCUGCUGUCACUGCUAAGGACAAGAGCAGACUGCAGUGUAUCAUCCACGCAGCAGAGAAUGUGAUUGAUCACAAUCUGCCAUCCCUACAGGACCUGUACACCUCCGGGGGGCCCUGAGGUGCUCAAGGAAGAUAAUGGCCAAUCCCUCUCACCCAGGACACAAACUUUUUGUUACCCUCCCCUCUGGCAGACGGCUGAGGUCCAUCAGGACUAAAACAUCAAGACACAAACAGCUUAUUUCUGUCUGCAGCCAGACUUAUAAAUAAUGCCAGAGAUCCCCAUUUACCCUGCUCCCCUCCCCCGACUCCCAACAAAGUCCAGACUGAUCAUUCCUGCUCUGUUCAUCUGCAUGCCUGCACAGCCCCAUUCCACUAUAUCUAUUUCACAGUAAACUUUGCUUUGCCCAUUUGUCUAUUUGGCUCAUUUACUUCUUACAGAAGUAUUUCUUUUAGUCCUUUUCUUUUUAUUGUUGUUUAUGUACCUAUUACUUCUUACAGACGGGUCAUUCCAUCUCAAGUCACCCAGAGGUUCCCAGGUCAACCCUCAGUUCUGUUCUGUCAGUUUGAUAUGUUAUUCCUUUUAGAAAAUUAUGCUGAAAUGCUAAAUAUUAGGUCUGUAUUUUGCAAACAUUUGAAGUUACAGCCUUUGGAAAUUUUUGUGAAUUUUUCACAUAUCGUGAAAACUGUGUUUUCUACAACUUAAUAAUAAUGAGCUCCCUAUAUGCCUCACAGCUUUGAAACUGCUCAUGCCAGGCUAACCUUUGGUGUAGAGUUGGGAAAUUGUGGCAAUUGUGGUUUAUCUAUUGUGAGCUGCCUUCCACAAAGGCCUCAAUAUGGUAGAAAACCUGAAAUUCUACAUGUUCUUCUUAUUUUUGAUGAGUUCAAAAUCAAAGAAUUAUACCAGCUAUGGCUAUAGAACUUUUUGUAUGAUGGUUUGUGAUAUAAAGGAACAUAUCUACACAUUUAAAUUAUAUACCAGGUUGUUUUAGCAAAAGUUAUAGUUGUCAGAAAAAUGCUCAUUUUUAAAAAAGUGUUGAAAUAUACUGAUUUUCAUCACCCCAGAUGCCAAUGUGGACAGUUGACUAUUAUAUUCAUAUUUUUACCAUAUAUUCUUAUACACGCAACAAAAAUAUAAACGCAACACUUUUGGUUUUGCUCCCAUUUUGUAUGAGAUGAACUCAAAGAUCUAAAACUUUUUCC
This is a long non-coding RNA of Thalassophryne amazonica, 2869 nucleotides long. RefSeq lists it as uncharacterized. The record is from RefSeq and is a predicted model, not a curated record. The transcript is spliced from 3 exons. NCBI's taxonomy places the organism in Eukaryota, Metazoa, Chordata, Actinopteri, Batrachoidiformes, Batrachoididae.